This is a long non-coding RNA of Hyaena hyaena (striped hyena), 321 nucleotides long. RefSeq lists it as uncharacterized. The transcript is spliced from 2 exons. Lineage: Eukaryota; Metazoa; Chordata; Mammalia; Carnivora; Hyaenidae. The record is from RefSeq and is a predicted model, not a curated record.
GGCAGCCAUUCAUGAUGUAAUGGUCAUGGUGACAGACAGCUCAUACUGAGUGUCCUCUUCUCUUGGGAGAUCAACAUGUCUGAUGUUUCCUGCUUCAUCUGCCCUCCAGUUUGUACAUAUUCUUCUACCUAGGAAUCAGAAAGUGUAUUUUGCAGCCAUGGAAUCUGUAUUGGGGAAGGAUCCCAUAAGUGGACCAAAGGAAGAGGAAAAUAUUCCAUUAUGCUAUCAUUGACUCCUCCCUUCUCUGCAUAGAACUCAUCAUGGGCUUCUCCAGGCUUGGCUGUCUGGUUCAUAUAAAUAGACAUUAUCAGUCUCUCUACA